This 490-nucleotide ribosomal RNA is filed under the name uncultured bacterium. RNAcentral's name for it is "partial 16S ribosomal RNA". It matches the Rfam family "Bacterial small subunit ribosomal RNA", at positions 28 to 507 of the family's 1533-position model. The record is from RNAcentral.
GAUGAACGCUAGCGAUAGGCUUAACACAUGCAAGUCGAGGGGUAACGUGUUGGAAGCUUGCUUCUGAUGACGACGACCGGCGGAUGGGUGCGUAACGCGUAUGCAACUUGCCUUACAGUGGAGAAUAACCCGGAGAAAUCCGGACUAAUACUCCAUACACUCUUAAGUACGCCUGUACAUGAGAGGAAAGUUUUAUCGCUGUGAGAUCGGCAUGCGUCCUAUUGGGUAGUUGGUGAGGUAACGGCUCACCAAGCCGACGCUUGGUAGGGGUGCUGAGAGGCAGACCCCCACGAUGGGACAGAGACACGGCACAAACUCGUACGGGAGGCAGCAGUGAGGAAUAUUGGUCAAUGGAGGAAACUCUGAGCCAGCCAAGUCGCGUGAAGGAAGAAUGUCCUAAGGAUUGUAAACUUCUUUAGCGAGCAAGUAAGGACUUCCACGUGAUGGGAGUUUGAAGGUAGCUCGAGAAUAAGUAUCGGCUAACUCCGUG